Molecule: long non-coding RNA, 630 nt
Filed under: Gossypium barbadense (sea-island cotton)
Lineage: Eukaryota; Viridiplantae; Streptophyta; Magnoliopsida; Malvales; Malvaceae
Description: long non-coding RNA (GBAR_LNC009773)
Source: RNAcentral
AGAAACCCAACCAUAUCCAACCGUACACACCCCCGUACCAACCUUACACCGUGUGGGGAGACAACUCGACCCACCCAACCGCUACACACCACAGAAUUUGCAGCAUGGCUGCUAGAAUAGAUAAUGUGACAGAGUCACCAGAUACAGAUAAUCGUGGCAGAGCCACCAGAACAGAUAUAUGUGGCAGAGCCACCAGAUCAGAUAUUUGUGGAAUAGCCACCAGAACGCUUCCUCCAUAAUAUAACCCAUGUCCCCAUGCAACAGAUAUAUAAUCAUGGCAUACAUCAUACAGAAUCAGAUCGUCAUGCUUUUCAGUCAAAAUUAACCCUAGGCGUAUAACGGUAAUUUUGCACCUAGGGGUAUAACAGUAAUUUUCCAUACAUAGGGGUAUUAUAGUAAUUUAGCUACUUUUAGGGUUUUCAUGCAUAUCCUAACUAUUUACGUACUAUCAGAACACUUACCGCACAUACUUACUGAAUUGGGCUCGUUGGCCCAUGAACCCGAUAUUUGGCCCAUUAAGCCCAAAUUAUCAAAAUGUACGAAAUCGCGCGUACUGUAGUUUAUUACUUUAGAUUACCAAAUAUACAAACCCAACUAUCUUACGAGCAUUCGCACACUCGCAAAUUCCCA